CGAACGGGUGAGUAACGCGUGAGUAACCUGCCCUGGAGUGGGGGGACAACAGUUGGAAACGACUGCUAAUACCGCAUAAGCCCACGAUCCGGCAUCGGAUUGAGGGAAAAGGAUUUAUUCGCUUCAGGAUGGACUCGCAUCCAAUUAGCUAGUUGGUGAGGUAACGGCCCACCAAGGCGACGAUUGGUAGCCGGACUGAGAGGUUGAACGGCCACAUUGGGACUGAGACACGGCCCAG
RNAcentral lists this ribosomal RNA (238 nucleotides) under uncultured bacterium. Its description in RNAcentral is "partial 16S ribosomal RNA". It matches the Rfam family "Bacterial small subunit ribosomal RNA", at positions 99 to 334 of the family's 1533-position model. The record is from RNAcentral.